CGAUAUCAAUAAGCGGAGGAAAAGAAAAUAACAAUGAUUCCUUCAGUAACUGCGAGUGAAGAAGGAAGAGCUCAAAUUUUGAAUCCGUUAGGUUUUACCUGACCGAGUUGUAAUUUGAAGAGGCGUUUUCUGAGGUUCUGAUCAGUCCAAGUCCUUUGGGAUAAGGCAUCACGGAGGGUGAGAAUCCCGUUCGGUUGAUCAGAUCUUCUUUACGAUACGUCAUCAAAGAGUCAAGUUGUUUGGGAAUGCAGCUUAAAAUGGGAGGUAAAUUUCUCCUAAGGCUAAAUAACGGCGAGAGACCGAUAGCGAACAAGUACCGUGAGGGAAAGAUGAAAAGAACUUUGAAAAGAGAGUUAAAUAGUACGUGAAAUUGUUGAAAGGGAAACGAUUGAAGCCAGUCGUACCGGCGGGUAAUCAGCCUUUUGGGUGUGAUUAUGUGGAGCGUGAGGAGCUAAUCGCCUUCAUCUUUGCAUAUUCGUGCACUUUGGGUGUACUUGCUCGUGUGGUAGGUUAACAUCAAUUUUGAUUAUCAUAAAAUGAUUGAAGGAAUGUAGCUUCGAUCUCGUAUUGAAGUGUUAUAGCCUUUGGUAGAUGUGAUGAUCGGGAUUGAGGAUUGCAACGGAUACCCUUCGGGGCUACCUGUCUGAUCUCUGCAAGUUGCUCUGGUGCUGAAAGCUUGCUUAUGGUAUCAAAGUUGACGUUCAAUAGGUUAGAACGGGAUAAAUUCGUUAAGGAUGUUGACGUA
This 745-nucleotide ribosomal RNA is filed under the name uncultured Glomus. RNAcentral describes it as "eukaryotic LSU rRNA". It matches the Rfam family "Eukaryotic large subunit ribosomal RNA", at positions 38 to 633 of the family's 3401-position model. Lineage: Eukaryota; Fungi; Glomeromycota; Glomeromycetes; Glomerales; Glomeraceae. The record is from RNAcentral.